RNAcentral lists this ribosomal RNA (253 nucleotides) under uncultured bacterium. Its description in RNAcentral is "partial 16S ribosomal RNA". It matches the Rfam family "Bacterial small subunit ribosomal RNA", at positions 524 to 776 of the family's 1533-position model. The record is from RNAcentral.
GACGAACCGUGCGAACGUUGUUCGGAAUCACUGGGCUUAAAGGGCGCGUAGGCGGGCACGCAAGUCAGGGGUGAAAGCCCACGGCUCAACCGUGGAAGGGCCUUUGAUACUGCGUGUCUGGAGGGAGGUAGGGGCGUGCGGAACUUCCGGUGGAGCGGUGAAAUGCGUAGAUAUCGGAAGGAACACCGGUGGCGAAAGCGGCGCGCUGGACCUCAUCUGACGCUGAGGCGCGAAAGCCAGGGGAGCAAACGGG